GGUUGUCCUUAGUAAAUUUGGAUGCACCUAAAAGUAUUUGGAUUUAAGUCGAUGUUUGAUUUGUUUCGACAUAGUCGUAAUUGGUCGAUAUCGUAAUUUCAAGUAAAAGUUCGGUAAUUUGGGUUAAUUAUCGAACAAGUCUCGAUUGGUCAAAGUUGGUCAACUCCUGGUCAAACCAGGAAAAGUUGUCGAGAUUCAGUAUAAUUGUUCAAAAGAUAUUAACUAUCGAAAUGUCGGAAUCUAGGACUCCAGAUACCCGAGGAACGGAAGGUUCGCGACUCUCGGAGUACGUGAGAGAAAGCAUCGGAAUCCAGGUAGGGGACUCGGGACUCUCUAUUGGCUAGUGAUUUUCCAUAUUUGAUUUUAUACAUGAUGCAUGAUGAAAGUGUAUUGUUAGUUGAAAUUUGAAAUGUUUUUAAGUUAACGUGCGUAUAAGAUUGUUGAUGGCGGUGUGUGAGAGCGGAAAGGUGGUCGAUGACUUCCUUGGGGAUUAGCCACCCCUAAACCUCCGGAGGGUUAGCUACACCGGUCGGACGGUGCGCAAUCGCAAUGAUGACACGGUUCCGUGUGUGUAGCUAGUGUGUUAAGUUUGGCGCUCUGUGACUGGUAAGGUCAGAUGUUGGUUCUACGGAACUAGGCCAUCAGUUUGGAUGCAGGUACUGUGCACUGGUGACAGGACAAAAGCGGACGGAGCUGGGUGUGCGGAAUAAGUCCGGUAAACCAUUGUUUGGACUUUGUUCUACAUUCUUUUUCCCGAACUUCGUGUUCCGAAAGUUGUUGAUAGUUAGCUUGCUCAUUCCUUAAAGUUCGUAUCCUUCGUGUGAACAUUCAUUCAAGUUCUGGACGAAUGAAAUAGAUUUCAACAACUCAAGUUUUUCA
Long non-coding RNA from Rosa rugosa (rugosa rose), 879 nucleotides. RefSeq lists it as uncharacterized. The transcript is spliced from 2 exons. The record is from RefSeq and is a predicted model, not a curated record. Lineage: Eukaryota; Viridiplantae; Streptophyta; Magnoliopsida; Rosales; Rosaceae.